AAUAAAAAUACCACAAAAGAGUUGCCACGUUUUCUGCUCUGCUGUAUCCUACCUACUUGGAAAUGGCCAGCCACAACACCUGCCUGUGCCCUUCCCUUAUCUCAGUAAUGGAUAAGAUCUGGGAUGAAAGUCACCCAGCUGAAACCUCUCCUGGAAAUUAAACAGUUUUGAGUAGAGCAUUCAACAGACCACUUCUUGAGAUAUAGGUAGAAUUUCUACUUAGGAUCGUUGGUAUCAAGACUUUUAUUCUGAUCCCACUGGUUUUCUUCUCAGGCUGUUAAAACAUCAUCUUUUUUCAAAGUCUUAGAAAUAUAAUUUUCAACAAGGCUGAUUUUUAGAGAGAAUAAAAGCAACGAGGUGCUCCAAAGGAAGGAGUGGUAAACGCUGUGUAGCAGGUUUUUAGGUGACUGCAUUAAAACCAGGAUUCAGUGGCCUAGAUUGCCCUCAAAAGACAACAAAGGCUGUGAUGUGAUGUCGAUCCCUCCAGCUCACCUUUCUUCUUGGGGGGUCUGUGCAGCUCCCCCUGGUCCCUCAGCUGGUGGAAAUUAUCUUGGAGUCUACAAACACUCAGCACCAUGACUGUCACUUUAUAAUUGUAAGUGCAAGGAGGCCUUUGCAAUUUUUUUAGCCUCUAUUUUGCGCUAGAUUCCAGGAGGAAGGAAAAUGUAAUGGCACAGGACCAGCCACAGAGAACUGACAAACCCCUGUGGUUUUAAAACAAGCAUUGACAGAAAAGGUGUCUACUGACUGGUGCAACUAGCUUUUCGGAUGUGAACUGGGGGAACUGGGAAGGUCUGUGGUUGCCUCUUGGAGCUGACUGGGGAAAUGUGGGGUGAAAGAGCCAAUAUGACUGCUCCAGUCUAGGACUGUUCUAUCUGCUGGCCUUCAGUAGGUGAGCUGAUGGAAGUAGUACAAUGGUCAUAAAUUGUAUUGUUUUCUAAACAAUAUGAAUCUCUGUUUUCUUUCUUAUUUUUUUUAAUCUUUGAGAAUAAAAGUAGGCUCCAAAACUCAGAA
Molecule: long non-coding RNA, 1014 nt
Organism: Numida meleagris (helmeted guineafowl)
Lineage: Eukaryota; Metazoa; Chordata; Aves; Galliformes; Numididae
Exons: 3
Source: RefSeq, a predicted model, not a curated record